This 491-nucleotide ribosomal RNA is filed under the name uncultured delta proteobacterium. RNAcentral's name for it is "bacterial SSU rRNA". It matches the Rfam family "Bacterial small subunit ribosomal RNA", at positions 8 to 472 of the family's 1533-position model. The record is from RNAcentral. Lineage: Bacteria; Deltaproteobacteria.
AGAGUUUGAUCCUGGCUCAGAACAAACGCUGGCGGCGUGCCUAACACAUGCAAGUCGAACGAGAAAUCCCGAGCUUGCUUGGGAGAGUAAAGUGGCGCACGGGUGAGUAACGCGUGGGUAACCUACCUUUGAAUCUGGAAUAACCAGCCGAAAGGCUGACUAAUACCGGAUAUGAUUUUUUAGGCUUUGGUCUUUUAAAUUAAAGGUGACCUCUUCAUGAAAGUUGCCGUUCAUAGAUGGGCCCGCGUACCAUUAGCUAGUUGGUGGGGUAAUGGCCUACCAAGGCGACGAUGGUUAGCUGGUCUGAGAGGAUGAUCAGCCACACUGGAACUGGAACACGGUCCAGACUCCUACGGGAGGCAGCAGUGAGGAAUUUUGCGCAAUGGGGGAAACCCUGACGCAGCAACGCCGCGUGAGCGAAGAAGGCCCUCGGGUCGUAAAGCUCUGUCAAGUGGGAAAAAAAUCUUUUGAUCAAUAGUCAAAAGANGNGA